This 144-nucleotide unclassified non-coding RNA is filed under the name uncultured Helotiales. RNAcentral's name for it is "sequence contains ITS2". The record is from RNAcentral. Lineage: Eukaryota; Fungi; Ascomycota; Leotiomycetes; Helotiales.
CAACCCUCAAGCUCUGCUUGGUAUUGGGCUUCACCAGUAAUGGUGUGCCUUAAAAUCAGUGGCGGUGCCAUCUGGCUCUAAGCGUAGUAAUUUUCUCGCUAUAGAUGUCUUGUGGAUACUUGCCAGCAACCCCUAAUUUUUUAA